Molecule: ribosomal RNA, 252 nt
Filed under: uncultured bacterium
Lineage: Bacteria
Description: partial 16S ribosomal RNA
Rfam family: Bacterial small subunit ribosomal RNA
Source: RNAcentral
UUGAACGCUGGCGGCAUGCCUUACACAUGCAAGUCGAACGGUAGAGGGGCAACCCUUGAGAGUGGCGAACGGGUGAGUAAUGCAUCGGAACGUGCCCAGUCGUGGGGGAUAACGCAGCGAAAGCUGUGCUAAUACCGCAUGUGAUCUAUGGAUGAAAGCAGGGGACCGCAAGGCCUUGUGCGAUUGGAGCGGCCGAUGUCAGAUUAGCUAGUUGGUAGGGUAAAAGCCUACCAAGGCGACGAUCUGUAGCUG